UACGUAGGCAGCGAGCGUUGUUCGGAAUUACUGGGCGUAAAGGGCUCGUAGGCGGCCAACUAAGUCGGACGUGAAAUCCCUCGGCUUAACCGGGGAACUGCGUCCGAUACUGGAUGGCUUGAGUUUGGGAGAGGGAUGCGGAAUUCCAGGUGUAGCGGUGAAAUGCGUAGAUAUCUGGAGGAACACCGGUGGCGAAGGCGGCAUCCUGGACCAACACUGACGCUGAGGAGCGAAAGCCAGGGGAGCAAACGGG
RNAcentral lists this ribosomal RNA (253 nucleotides) under uncultured bacterium. Its description in RNAcentral is "partial 16S ribosomal RNA". It matches the Rfam family "Bacterial small subunit ribosomal RNA", at positions 524 to 776 of the family's 1533-position model. The record is from RNAcentral.